RNAcentral lists this transfer RNA (74 nucleotides) under Candidatus Moraniibacteriota bacterium. Its description in RNAcentral is "tRNA-Pro". It matches the Rfam family "tRNA". From Rfam's summary of the family: Transfer RNA (tRNA) molecules are approximately 80 nucleotides in length. Their secondary structure includes four short double-helical elements and three loops (D, anti-codon, and T loops). Further hydrogen bonds mediate the characteristic L-shaped molecular structure. tRNAs have two regions of fundamental functional importance: the anti-codon, which is responsible for specific mRNA codon recognition, and the 3' end, to which the tRNAs corresponding amino acid is attached (by aminoacyl-tRNA synthetases). tRNAs cope with the degeneracy of the genetic code in two manners: having more than one tRNA (with a specific anti-codon) for a particular amino acid; and 'wobble' base-pairing, i.e. permitting non-standard base-pairing at the 3rd anti-codon position. The record is from RNAcentral. Lineage: Bacteria; Candidatus Moraniibacteriota.
CGGAGUAUAGCGUAGCGGCUUAACGCGCCUGCUUUGGGAGCAGGAGAUCCUGGGUUCAAAUCCCAGUACUCCGA